Long non-coding RNA from Colias croceus (clouded yellow), 1234 nucleotides. RefSeq lists it as uncharacterized. Lineage: Eukaryota; Metazoa; Arthropoda; Insecta; Lepidoptera; Pieridae. The record is from RefSeq and is a predicted model, not a curated record. The transcript has 2 exons.
GUCACGCGUCAGACUCACAGGUACCUACUAGGUAGACAGGUUAACUUUUAAUAACAAUAUUGCAAUACAGUUACUGCAUAGUUGUUUAUAACAGUUAAAGUUACUAUGUAUAUGUGAUAAUUUACAUGUUAUUUUGAUAAGUAAGUUCUUUUUGUGAGUUUGUUUACGUUUUUUUUUGUGAAAAUGUUUAUGUCAUCUGAAGUUUUUGCGACGUUCGGAGUUUCUGCGGUGCUGUCUUUCUCCGUCUCCAUAUUCAUACUACUCAUGUACGCGUCAAAAAAGGGCAUGCUUCAUCCAAAGAAAUUCGACCUUUUAAUGCCUUCAGAAACUGUCACUCCUGUACCGUCAGCGCCAGAAUUAGCGCCUUUGAAAAAUUAAUAAAAAAAAAAAUACUUGAAUGUGUUAAUUAGAUUUAAUAUUUGUAUAAUUAACUAAUGAUUUAAUUCUAUAAGAUAGGAAAGCAUAAUGUAUUUAACAUUCAUUUUUUAUGUAUGUAGAUAAGUGUAAAUUUGAAAAUAAAAGUACAUAUAAAUAAUAUACACGUGCAUAGUGUGUCAGAUUGUAAGUAUGUAUAUUUGUGGAAAAAAAAUUGACAGCUUGAUUUCGAUGUAUUUUAGGCUAAGAUUAUAGGCAUGCAUAUAACGUCAAUAUUCGCGUGUAGGUGACGCGACGCGACUUGCCCAGUUAGGUGUGAAAGGGAUAAAAAACAUACAGGCGUCAUUCAAGGUCAUAUUUUCUUGUGAGAAGUUAAUGUUCAUAGUGCAAUCUCCAGUGUAUUAGAUAUAAGCUUCUUGACCUAUAGACUCAAACUUGGACUCGAAAUAUGGUAUAAGAAUCAAAAAGUUAAAAAUCUCUUUUUUAAUACCUCUUAGAUCAUGCAUGUUUGUCAUUGCGAUAAGAAUAACUACUGAGGUGAUAAAUUAUUAUUUAUAUGCAAAUGUUAUAGAGAACGUUUCCAAAAAAUGUAUUAAUUGGCUUUUAAUCGCCAAUCGCAUUAUCAAGAGAGUAAUUAAUAUUCUGUCUGUCUCUUUCUCUCAUAUGUAUUUUUAUGAGAUGUCAAUAUAAUUAUCUCUUAUCAUUUUUCGUAUAUCAUUGAAAAUUUAGUUCAUGUAAUCUGUAUACUACUUCUACCUUAACUAUACACUAUGUUACCUUUACUAUAACAGUUAAUAAAUCUAUUAACUAAUGCACUUAAUUAGAUUUAAGGGAAUAUAUAACUUUUUUCAACCAAAUA